Molecule: long non-coding RNA, 1957 nt
Organism: Piliocolobus tephrosceles (Ugandan red Colobus)
Lineage: Eukaryota; Metazoa; Chordata; Mammalia; Primates; Cercopithecidae
Source: Ensembl
CAAUUUAGUUAAAGAUGAUAAGACAUUAAUUUAUGACAGAAAAGAAACACAAAUAAAAGGAAAAGGAGUGAUGGUAACAUAUUUGUUGACGAAUGUUAUUGGUUUGAAUUAUCCGUUUGUGGGCGAGCAUAAAAAUAGAAAAAAAAUAAAAAAGUGUAAAAAAGGUGGAAAAGGUGCUAAAUCCAUAAAAAAUAUUAAUUCUAUAGAUAAAAGUAAUGAUAUAGGCAAAAUAAGUGGCGAUGGUAACGAUAUUAAUGAAACUGCAGAUUAUAAUAAUACUAAAACCUCAAAUAAUGUGUACCCUAAUAAAUUGAAUGCAACUAACGAAUACAUGAUGAAUAAAACAUAUUCUAAUGAUGUUAUCAUACACAGUAGUAAUAAUUCAGAAAACGAAAACGAUAAUAAUAUGGUCGAUGACAAUGUUGAUCAAGGUUAUUAUUCAGAAGAUGAUUAUUAUUAUGAGGAUGAGUACAAUAAUGAAAAUGAUGAUAUACAUAAUUAUAUAAAUUUGAAAGAUUUAUCAUUUAGCGACUUGUCUAAUGAAAAUAUAAGAGAUAUUAAUACACAUUACUAUGAUAUUAUAAAAUUAAGGAAUUUAAAAAUUGGGUCUGCUGUUGGUCAUCAGUCACGACAAAAAGAAGUUUUGAAUAUGUCGAUUUUGAAUAAUGGAUUACAUAAUGAUUCGCAUAUACAUAUGAAUCAAUUUUUUGAUCAAGCUAAAGGUGCAGAAGAAACGCGAGAAAUAGAUUUAAGUAUGAAAAAAUAUUCAUUAAACAGCUCAUUACACUUUUUAAAUGAAAGCUUAGCAAAAAAGGAUACAGACAGUGUUACAUAUAACAACAGUAAAUCAACACGUGUAAAAAGUGUGUUAGAACAAUAUCAUAUUCAAAAUAUAAAUAAUUUUAUGAAUACAGAUAUAGGUGAUAAUAAGGAGGAUGAUUUGAAAAAUAUUCAAUUAUGUAAUAGACGUUGUAUUAGUUGUAAUCAAAUUUAUUGUGCACCUAAUGAAUGUAUUAAUGAAGAACAUGUAAACCAUGUAUCAUACCACAAAAUGUUAAACAAUAUACGAUCUAAUUAUAUUAAAAAAAUAAAACAAGAUAAAAAAAAUAAUGAAGAAAUUGUGGCAGAAGCAAAUGCAAGUUAUAAAAAAAGAACAUUGUGUUGGUUAGCAAAUGUUUGUUCUUGUUUUAGUUCUUUGUUAAGUUUUUUUAAAAAAAGACGAGUUAAUAGUUAUGAGGAAAAAAUGAACGAGGAGCAUGUACAAAGCCAUAACGGAAAAACACAUUACGAUAAUAUAACUAAAAGAGAGAAUAGACAACAAAAUAAAAACAACAAACUAAUUUUUAUAAAUAGCGAUUGGAUAUUUUUAAAAUUUAGUGAUAAAAACUUAGAAGAAAAAUAUCGAGUUCAUUUUUACAGUAAUAAAUCUAACAUAAACUCUAUUGAACAAGCGUUAAUAAUAUUUUUAGUUACGUUUGUCACACAGUCGUUAUUAUCAAGUACAGUGCCAAUAACGUUUGUUGAUCAUAAAAGAACAACUCAGACUUUUCAAAUUAAUUAUUUAGCUUAUUGGUCCGUCCGAUCUGUUUAUACCUAUGCUGGUUUUAUGCUGUGGUUAUUAUUUCAUUAUAGAACAAGACCCGAAGUAUCAUCUUUGUUAAAUAUAAAAUGGAUGAUAUUUUUUUUAAAUUUGUUAUUAAUAUCUGCUGCAUGUGUUUUUUCAGUUGCAUAUAUGUGGUCUAUAACUGACACAGAUGUCAAGGCGUCCUACACAAUGUGGAUGACUAAUGAUACGAUCGAGUUAUUUUUUUAUUUAGUUAUUUUGCAUCAUAACACUGGUAUGCUAUUUCAAACAUGUAUAUUAGUCGAUUUGUUAUUUAUCACUAUGUCAUUAACUUUUAUCUCUACUAGUGUUGUAAAAACGUUAACUACUGAUUCGACCGUUAUGUUAAUACCA